CCGUUCAAUACUGCGGAGCUCGAGGGCAGAAGAGGGGGGUGGAAUUGCUGGUGUAGUGGUGAAAUGCGUAGAUAUCAGCAGGAGCACCUGUGGCGAAAGCGGCCCCCUGGUCUGCUCCUGACACUCAGACGCGAAAGCUAGGGGAGUGAACGGGAUUAGAAACCCCGGUAAUCCUAGCCGUAAACGAUGGAUGCUAGGUGUGGGUGGUAUUGACCCCAUCCGUGCCGAAGCCAACGCGUUAAGCAUCCCGCCUGGGGACUACGGCCGCAAGGUUAAAACUCAAAGGAAUUGACGGGGACCCGCACAAGCAGCGGAGCGUGUGGUUUAAUUCGAUGCUACACGAAGAACCUUACCCAGGUUUGACAUGCAGGUAGUAGUGAAGCGAAAGCGGAACGAUCCUUCGGGAAGCCUGCACAGGUGCUGCAUGGCUGUCGUCAGCUCGUGCCGUGAGGUGUUUGGUUAAGUCCACUAACGAGCGCAACCCCUGUCGUCAGUUACAUGUGUCUGGCGAGACUGCCGGUCUUAAACCGGAGGAAGGUGGGGAUGACGUCAAGUCAGCAUGGCCUUUAUAUCUGGG
Molecule: ribosomal RNA, 577 nt
Filed under: uncultured bacterium
Lineage: Bacteria
Description: bacterial SSU rRNA
Rfam family: Bacterial small subunit ribosomal RNA
Source: RNAcentral